UAGGGAAUAUUAGAAAUGGACGAAAGUCUGAUCUAGCAACACCGCGUGUGCGAAGAAGGCCUUCGGGUCGUAAAGCACUUUUUGGAGGGAAUAGGAAGGAAUGUACUUCCAGAAUAAGUCUCGGCUAACUACGUGCCAGCAGCCGCGGUAACACGUAGGAGGCGAACGUUAUCCGGAUUUACUGGGCGUGAAGCGCGUGUAGGUGGUACUGUAAGUAGGGCGUGAAAGCUCCUGGCUCAACUGGGAGAGGCCGUUCUAAACUACAGAACUAGAGGAUGGUAGAGGGAGGUGGAAUUCCAGGUGUAGCGGUGGAAUGCGCAGAUAUCUGGAGGAACACCGGUGGCGAAGGCGGCCUCCUGGACCAUUCCUGACACUCAGACGCGAAAGCUAGGGUAGCAAACGG
Molecule: ribosomal RNA, 403 nt
Filed under: uncultured bacterium
Lineage: Bacteria
Description: bacterial SSU rRNA
Rfam family: Bacterial small subunit ribosomal RNA
Source: RNAcentral